Molecule: ribosomal RNA, 253 nt
Filed under: uncultured bacterium
Lineage: Bacteria
Description: partial 16S ribosomal RNA
Rfam family: Bacterial small subunit ribosomal RNA
Source: RNAcentral
GACAGAGGUGCCGAGCGUUAGGCGGAAUCACUGGGCUUAAAGCGUGUGUAGGCGGGCCGUUAAGUGCCUUGUGAAAUCCCCCGGCUCAACCGGGGAACUGCUGGGCAUACUGGCGGGCUUGAGUCACUCAGGGGUCAGCGGAACAAACGGUGGAGCGGUGAAAUGCGUAGAUAUCGUUUGGAACGCCGACGGCGAAAGCAGCUGACUGGGAGUGAUCUGACGCUGAGACACGAAAGCCAGGGGAGCGAACGGG